GUCGAGCGAAGCAGACCUUUCGGGGGAUGCUUAGCGGCGGACGGGUGAGUAACACGUGGGUAACCUGCCUCAAAGAGGGGGAUAGCCUCCCGAAAGGGAGAAUAAUACCGCAUGAGGAGUGCCUUUCACAUGGAGGGCACUUUAAAGGAGAAAUCCGCUUUGAGAUGGACCCGCGGCGCAUUAGCUAGUUGGCAGGGCGGAGGCCUACCAAGGCGACGAUGCGUAGCCGACCUUAGAGGGUGAACGGCCACAUUGGAACUGAGAGACGGUCCAGACUCCUACGGGAGGCAGCAGUGGGGAAUAUUGCACAAUGGGCGGAAGCCUGAUGCAGCAACGCCGCGUGAGUGAAGAAGGUUUUCGGAUUGUAAAGCUCUGUCAUAUGGGACGAUAGUGACGGUACCAUAUGAGGAAGCCACGGCUAACUACGUGCCAGCAGCCGCGGUAAUACGUAGGUGGCAAGCGUUGUCCGGAAUUACUGGGCGUAAAGGGUGCGCAGGCGGACAUUUAAGUGAGAUGUGAAAGACCCGGGCUUAACUUGGGCAGGGCAUUUCAAACUGGGUGUCUUGAGUGCAGGAGAGGAGAACGGAAUUCCUAGUGUAGCGGUGAAAUGCGUAGAGAUUAGGAAGAACACCAGUGGCGAAGGCGGUUCUCUGGACUGUAACUGACGCUGAGGCACGAAAGCGUGGGUAGCAAACAGGAUUAGAUACCCUGGUAGUCCACGCCGUAAACGAUGAGUACUAGG
Molecule: ribosomal RNA, 742 nt
Filed under: uncultured bacterium
Lineage: Bacteria
Description: bacterial SSU rRNA
Rfam family: Bacterial small subunit ribosomal RNA
Source: RNAcentral